This 486-nucleotide ribosomal RNA is filed under the name uncultured bacterium. RNAcentral describes it as "bacterial SSU rRNA". It matches the Rfam family "Bacterial small subunit ribosomal RNA", at positions 28 to 457 of the family's 1533-position model. The record is from RNAcentral.
GAUGAACGCUAGCGGCAGGCCUAAUACAUGCAAGUCGAGCGGUAAGGCUCUGCACAGGUUAUUUGAUCGAGAGUUUAGUCUCCUAACGGUACUUCUGGCUAGAAGUAUUAACAGAUCGAAUAAUGUGUGUAGAGUACACGAGCGGCGGACGGCUGAGUAACGCGUAGGAACAUACCCCAAAGUGAGGGAUAAGCACCAGAAAUGGUGUCUAAUACCGCAUGUGGUCUUCGGAUUAAAGCUUUAUGCGCUUUGGGAAUGGCCUGCGUUCGAUUAGCUUGUUGGUGAGGUAAUGGCUCACCAAGGCUCCGAUCGAUAGCUGGUCUGAGAGGAUGAUCAGCCAGACUGGAACUGAGACACGGUCCAGACUCCUACGGGAGGCAGCAGUAGGGAAUUUUCCACAAUGGGCGAAAGCCUGAUGGAGCAACGCCGCGUGCAGGAUGAAGGCUUUCGGGUCGUAAACUGCUUUAUAGGUGAAGAUUAUGACGG